This 91-nucleotide non-coding RNA is filed under the name Streptomyces lincolnensis. Its description in RNAcentral is "Streptomyces RNA 3202". It matches the Rfam family "Streptomyces RNA 3202". Rfam says of the family: Identified by deep sequencing of transcriptome at the end of exponential growth phase. Appears smaller on northern blot than sequencing transcript. The record is from Rfam by way of RNAcentral. Lineage: Bacteria; Bacillati; Actinomycetota; Actinomycetes; Kitasatosporales; Streptomycetaceae.
CCGAGUCCCGACGCACUCCCCCCGGCGCCGGGACUCUCCCCGAGCCGGACUUCGGCGCCCCUCCCCCCGGGCGCCGGGGUCCGGCUCCCUC